ACCAAAUUGUCCACACUGCACCCCGAAACACCCAAGAAGCUCCUUUCCACUUCUGGAUAGAAUGUGCACAAUAUGCUCCCUAUCGAAGCUGAUUAGGCACAAAGAUAGGCAUAGACAUCUCAACGAUUACGAACCUGAAGACUAUAUUGGCCACAACACACUGAAAAAACUAGCAAAUAUAUACAAGCCUUUAAACAACAUAUUCAAGCUACACAUCGAUUGUGAAUUCAAACAUAACAUAUUGGAGGAUAAAGCGGUGUCUAUACCUUCCAUGUAAACAGAGAAGAAGAAGAGAAAGUCUAAGGAAGAAAAGGUGUUUCUUCUGUUUAACAUUGCGAAUAUGUUC
RNAcentral lists this long non-coding RNA (346 nucleotides) under Androctonus crassicauda. Lineage: Eukaryota; Metazoa; Arthropoda; Arachnida; Scorpiones; Buthidae. The record is from RNAcentral.